CCUACGGGGGGCAGCAGUAAGGGAUAUUGGUCAAUGGGGGAAACCCUGAACCAGCAACGCCGCGUGAGGGAAGACGGUUUUCGGAUUGUAAACCUCUGUUCUCUGUGAAGAUGAUGACGGUAUCAGAGUCGGAACCUCCGGCUAACGAUGCGCCAGCAGCCGCGGUAAGACGUAGGGAGCGAGCGUUGUCCGGAUUUACUGGGUGUAAAGGGUGCUUAGGCGGCUUGGCAAGUCAGUAGUGAAAUCCAUGGGCUUAACCCAUGAACUGCUAUUGAAACUGUCGAGCUUGAGUGAAGUAGAGGUAGGCGGAAUUCCGGGUGUAGCGGUGAAAUGCGUAGAGAUCGGGAGGAACACCAGUGGCGAAGGCGGCCUGCUGGGCGUUAACUGACGCUGAGGCACGAAAGCGUGGGUAGCAAACAGGAUUAGAUACCCCAGUAGUC
Molecule: ribosomal RNA, 440 nt
Filed under: uncultured bacterium
Lineage: Bacteria
Description: partial 16S ribosomal RNA
Rfam family: Bacterial small subunit ribosomal RNA
Source: RNAcentral